GGGAUUCAGCGUGGGCAGGAUGAUUUGGCCCUCCACAUGAGCGACUCCCCCUCGUCCCUAGCGUGCGUGAAUUAGGAAUACCCCAGCCUUAGAAUCGGGUGGCUCCAUAAUUUGAAUUAUAGUCUGGAGAAGCAUCCUUAGUGGCAGACCGAGCCUAAGUCCCCAGAGUGUCAAAGAGUGCUUGAAAUUGUUGAUAGAGAAGCGGAUAGGGACCUACGAUACUCCCCAAUCGGAUAUGAAAUGGCGAUGAGCCGGUAUGCCGGUCGAUCGGGGCAUGGACCAGCAUAGAUUGAGGUCAUCUAAAGCCCGGGAUCUCGAUAAGCUCAUGGAAUACUGUCUCCUUGAUUAUGGCAGGUAGCGCGUGCCUCUAGCAUGCUUCUACAUUUGGUCUCUUUUGAUGCUGGCCUAUGGGCUCCUUAUUUUACCCAUCUUGAAACAUGGACCAUGGAGUCUGAUUUGUUUGUGAGUCAAUGGACGAGUAUACCCAUAAGGCACAAAGAAGUUGAUUGGUGGGAUCAUCCUUAUUGGAGUACUGGCGACCGACCUCGAUCUUCUGAGAAGGGUCUGAGUGGAAGAAUGCAUAUCGGGACCCAAAAGAUAGUGAAUUAUGCCUGAGUAGGAUGAAGAUAGAGGAAACUCUGGUGGAGGCCCCUACAAUACUAACAUGCAAAUCAUUCAUCGGACUAGGGAAUAGGGGAGAAAUACUAAUCCAGUCGUCUAGUAGUUCAUUCCCUCAAAAGUUUCCCUCAAGAUAGCUAAAGCUUGCGUGUGAGUUCUAUCAAUUAAAGCCAAUAAGUAUAGUCUUGAAAGACACAAUGCCAUAGACCUAUUGUCAAACGUGAAAUAGGUAGGACGACGCGACUUCUUUGUUCAGCCACGCCAUAGAGUAAGAAAAAAAUGGCGAUGUGUGAUGAACUAAAAUAUAGGUUACGGUGUCAAAUUAUGCACUAACAUAAAUCCCACAAACGUUGUUCGUUGAUAAGAUAGUAGGACAGUGGUCAUUUAAGUUAAAAUCCGCUAAGGAGUGCAUUAAAACUCACUUGUCAAAUCAACUAGCCCCUAAAAUGGAUUGAUAGUAAGAGCGCGACCUACCCCCGGCCAUCGAGGCAAGUGCCAGGCCCCAAUGAGUAGAAGGGAACAACAGUCACUGCAAAACCUUGAGCGUGAUCCUAGGUGGAACCAUCUUCAGUGCAGAUUUUGGUGGUAGUAGCAAAUAUUCAAAUGAGAACUCUGAAGGCUGAAGAUGGGAAAGAUUCCAUGUGAACAACACUUGAACAUGGGUUAGCCGGUCUAAGGGUUUGGGGAACCCUGACAGAUAGCGCAUUUCGCAUGUACUAUGAAAAAUAAUAAGGUUAAAAUUCUAGAACUAGGAUGUGGCGGUCAAAAACAUCAUUAAGAAGUCCUGAGUCUUCAAUGGGAGCCUAGGGAAGAGUUAUAUUUUUUGUUUAAUAGCCUUCCCACCCUAGAAUCAGCUCAUCCGGAGGUAGGGUCCAAUAGCUAGAAAAUCACCACGCAUCGUGUGGUCUCCGGUGCGCUCUCAGAUGCCCUUGAAAAUAUGGAAGAGAAAAUGUUAUCCAUGCCCAAUCGUACUAAUAACCAUUAAGGUCUCCAAGGAGAACAACCUCUAGUCGAUAGAAUAAUGUAGGUAAGGAAAGUCGACAAUCUAUGGAAUAUCUAUCGAUGGAAUGCUUAAGUUUCAUUCAUGAUGAGAGCGAGUCACCAUGUGCCAGUUGGGGGACACAUUGGGAACAAUUCCUUCAAGGGCCUUCCCCGUGCAUUGAAUAUCCAACUCAGAAUUGGUACAGACAAGGGAAAUCUGAUUAUUUAAUUACAAUAAAGCAUUGCAAUGGUCCCAAUGGAUGUUCACGCAAUGUGAUUUUUGUCCAGUACUCUGAAUGUUAAAGUGAAGAAAUUCAACCAAGCGCAGGUAAACGACUGGAGUAAAUAUGACUCUCUUAAGGUAGCUAAAUUCCUCAUCAUCUAACUAGUGACGUGCAUGAAUGGAUUUAUGAGAUUCCCACUGUCCCUAUCUACUAUCCAUCAAAACCAUAGCCAAGAGAAUAGUCUUUGAAGAAUCUGCAGGGAAAGAAAACUUUGUUGAGCUUGAGGCACUGCCCCUCUUUUUGGAUCCAAGGCUCGCUCUAUUGGCCGAUUGGAGCAGAAAACAUUGUCAGGUAGGGAGUUUUUCUGGUGUGGCACAUCUGUUAAAAGAUAACACAGGGUCCUAAGAUGAGCUCAAUUAGAAUAGAAAUCUCGUAUGGAACAGAAGAAUAAAAGCUUGUUUGAGUCUGAUUUCCAAUAUGAAUACGAACCGUGAAAGAAUGUCCUAACAAUCCUUUAGACCUUUGAAAUUUGAAGCUAGAGAAGUCAGAAAAGUUACAUAGGGAUAGCUAGCUUGUGGCACGCAAGCGUUCAUAGCGACCUUGGUUUUUGAUUGUUCGAUGUCAACUCUUCCUAUCAUUGUGAAGCAGAAUUCACCAAGUAUUUGAUUGUUCACCCACAGAUAGGGAAUGUGAUCUGGGUUUAAACCAUCAUAAGAUAGGUUAGUUUUACCCAACUUAUGACAGUGUCAUAAAAGUAAUUCAACCUAGUACGAGAGGAAUCAUUGAUUCACAUAAUUGGUUAUCGCGCUUAUAGUUGAAAAGCCAGUGGCGGAAAGAUCUUUUGUGCUGGAUUAUAACUAAAGACCUAUAAAUCAAAAUUUGCGCUAAAGCAAUGCAUGCGCCCUCCUUCCAUUUGGUGACCCACAGUAGGGGCACGUGUUAUAGUCUAAGCCAUCAUGGCAAAAGGUUUGUGGUGGCGUCCUUGCAAUACAAUUUUUACGGAGCUGCAAGAAAAAUCCUUUAGAGAUAACUUAAAUAUAAGACAGGGUAUUGUAAGUGGCAGAGUGGCCUUGAUACCAUGAUCCACUUAGAUUCAUCCCUUUGCCGCUCUGAUUCUU
Non-coding RNA from Capsicum annuum, 2941 nucleotides. The record is from Rfam. NCBI's taxonomy places the organism in Eukaryota, Viridiplantae, Streptophyta, Magnoliopsida, Solanales, Solanaceae.